This 497-nucleotide ribosomal RNA is filed under the name uncultured bacterium. Its description in RNAcentral is "partial 16S ribosomal RNA". It matches the Rfam family "Bacterial small subunit ribosomal RNA", at positions 28 to 507 of the family's 1533-position model. The record is from RNAcentral.
GAUGAACGCUGGCGGCGUGCCUAAUACAUGCAAGUCGAGCGAACAGAUAAGGAGCUUGCUCCUUUGACGUUAGCGGCGGACGGGUGAGUAACACGUGGGUAACCUACUUAUUAGACUGGGAUAACUUCGGGAAACCGGAGCUAAUACUGGAUAACAUUUGGAACCGCAUGGUUCUAAAGUGAAAGAUGGUUUUGCUAUCACUUAGAGACGGACUCGCGCCGUAUUAGCUAGUUGGUAAGGUAACGGCUCACCAAGGCGACGAUACGUAGCCGACCUGAGAGGGUGAUCGGCCACACUGGAACUGAGACACGGUCCAGACUCCUACGGGAGGCAGCAGUAGGGAAUCUUCCGCAAUGGGCGAAAGCCUGACGGAGCAACGCCGCGUGAGUGAUGAAGGGUUUCGGCUCGUAAAACUCUGUUAUUAGGGAAGAACAAAUGUGUAAGUAACUGUGCACGUCUUGACGGUACCUAAUCAGAAAGCCACGGCUAACUACGUG